UGCUCCAAGGUAUUUUCUUUUUUUGCUGGACUAUAAUUCCUAGAAGGGAAGUAUAAGAACUUUUUUUUUUUUAAACACCAAGAUUUGUAGAAGUUUUAUCUUCAGUUGGGAUUCAUGACAUCUAUCGGUAAUUGAGGUGAAUUUAAAUAGUUUACCUAUAAAAGGUAAGUUGUUAGUACUCUUUUAAAAAAAUCUAAAUAGUUCUUUUCCUUGCUGGAAAUCAGUUAUUAGUCUUUACCUAGCCUUUUGUUCAUAAGCACUUCUAAGGUCUACUGUUAUCUGGUUGAUGUUGGUAAUGACUAAUAUUUAACCAUGUGUAUUCUUUGCAUAUUCUUUCUCCCCUUGGCUCCCCACAGUACAGGGGAUUGAACCCAGAAACAUUAUCCCUCUGAUCUACAUCUCAGCCCUCUUUUUAAUUGUGUUUCAAGACAAGGUCUUGUCAAAUUGGCCGGUCUUGAACUUGGUGGCCUUCCUACCUUAGACUCUCCAGUAGCUGGGCUUAGGUAUGUGGCACAGUACUCAGAAACAGUGUAUAUUAUUUAAUCUCCCCAUCCCUUGUGAAAUUGGUUAUCAUCAUUGUCCCUAUUUUACAGAUUAAGACCCCAGCAUAGAAGUGACUACACUCUAGUAAAUUACAGAGAUAACCAGUUCUUGGUAUUCUUAUGUUCAGAUUUUCAUGUUUGACCACUCUGGGCAACAAAGAUGGUAUAGUCUUGUAUUGACAUAAGGGAAAACUAAAUUUUGUUCUUAAACCAGCCAAAUGACUUUAUAAUGAACUGGGCUCAUUUGGUUAAGGAAGUCUCUUAAAUCAGGUUAUUUGUUUGGUUUUACCUUAAAAUACAGGGUU
RNAcentral lists this long non-coding RNA (847 nucleotides) under Marmota monax (woodchuck). Lineage: Eukaryota; Metazoa; Chordata; Mammalia; Rodentia; Sciuridae. The record is from RNAcentral.